GACCUCAUCCCAACAUAUGGCAUGCAAGU
RNAcentral lists this non-coding RNA (29 nucleotides) under Rattus norvegicus (Norway rat). The record is from RNAcentral. Lineage: Eukaryota; Metazoa; Chordata; Mammalia; Rodentia; Muridae.